AUCUAUGGCCAUACCACCCUGAACAUGCCUGAUCUCGUCUGAUCUUAGAAGCUAAGCAGGGUUGGGCCUGGUUAGACUUGGAUG
This 84-nucleotide ribosomal RNA is filed under the name Erinaceus europaeus (western European hedgehog). The record is from RNAcentral. Lineage: Eukaryota; Metazoa; Chordata; Mammalia; Eulipotyphla; Erinaceidae.